RNAcentral lists this ribosomal RNA (253 nucleotides) under uncultured Gemmatimonas sp. RNAcentral's name for it is "partial 16S ribosomal RNA". It matches the Rfam family "Bacterial small subunit ribosomal RNA", at positions 524 to 776 of the family's 1533-position model. Lineage: Bacteria; Pseudomonadati; Gemmatimonadota; Gemmatimonadia; Gemmatimonadales; Gemmatimonadaceae. The record is from RNAcentral.
UACAGAGGGUGCGAGCGUUGUCCGGAAUCACUGGGCGUAAAGGGCGCGUAGGUGGUUCGGUAAGUGUGUGGUGAAAGCCCGGGGCUCAACCCCGGGUCUGCCAUGCAAACUGCUGGACUUGAGCAUACUAGAGGCAGGUUGAAUUCCGGGUGUAGCGGUGGAAUGCGUAGAGAUCCGGAAGAACACCAGUGGCGAAGGCGGCCUGCUGGGGUAGUGCUGACACUGAGGCGCGACAGCGUGGGGAGCAAACAGG